UUGUGAUAUGCUCUGGUUGAUAGUAGUUAGUGUCCGUGUUUUGACUUGUUGCUAAACCCUUGAGAGCAUCUCGUAAUGUUUAACUCUUAUGAAUUGUUCGAGAUGACCUUUUUUGUCUUGAUGAAUUGUGGCAUGACAACCCAAGAGUACUAGGGUCUAGAGGUAUCCCUAGAAACUUAGGAGCAAGUGGAGAAAGACGUAGCAGGACCAGAGCAGAGGACAUUUGGCACCUUUGAAACACCAUAAAUCAUCUCGUAAAAAAUAUUCAACUUUUAAAAUGUGUACUAUGUAAGUGUUGUUCUUCUGAGUGAUGGAAUUGCAUAUUGUAAAUCAAUCUCCACUUGUACAAAGGAUGAGCAAAUCUUUUGCUUAUUCUUGUCUACUUUUUUUUUUUUGGUCAAAAUGAAUAGGAAUAGCAGGUUCCUUUAAAGUGCAAGUAUAAUGGAAAGAGUUGGUAAAUUUUAAUAUACUUCUGAAAGAAUCAUCAUCCUUGUGUCAUUAUCUUUUUCAUGUAUUGAACAACAGAUUUGCACAUGUAUUUUUACCAUCUUUAACAGCUCUUUAUUAACGGAUAGUAUAUGGUUUUGCUUUUAUGUAGGGGGAUGUUGAGUUGUAAGAAGACCAGAUGCAUCUGCUCUGAUUUUAGAGGCAUGUAUAACCUGUCAAAGAGCAGCAAAAGAAAUGCAUCAUAGCUGUGUGAUACAUAACUUUGCCAGGAGAGAUCUCUCUAUUUAAGCACACAGACUGCUAUGGCAUUGUUAACCAUUUGCUCAGUUGCUCUUAAAUGCAUUUCUGCUGGCAGAAGAUGGUAGCAUGGUGGAGGUUCUGUUGUUAAACCCGGUAUCAGGACUUGAUCAAGCAAUUUGGUAUGUUCGGUGAAAAUUCAUGCACAUUUGAGCGAUCGUACAGUACUCCGAAGUUGGUGUUUUCUAUCCUCCGGUAAUUGUGGAUCACUGGUAUAAUGAGGAAAUCAACCUAACGUAUAAUUGCCAUGGUCUAUAUUUGUGUGUAUGUGGAGACUGGUGUGUGUACUAAUUUUCUGGAAUGUCAUUUAGUCAGAAGAGUUGUUUAGAAGAGGCAUAGGCAAAUUCUCUUGUAAGGCUUUUGUAGUUCCUUGAGAGUUUAACAUGGUUAUAACAUUAGUGCGCCGGCCGUCCUCGGCCAGGAUCUGGUCGGCAUAGCUUGUGGUUGUUGGGCACUUGGGGUUUGGGGUUUGAAAGACAGUGUCGUUGAUGUGCUUUGAGUUCCUGCUUAAUUGAGUUAUGCUGACUUUGUUAGUAUCCACAUCUUCAGAUACUAUUCCCAUAAUCCCUAAAAAACCAGCAGUUGCGUUGCGUGGUAGCUAGGUUAUGUAAAGCGCAUUCCUGUGAUGAAAAAUAGACCCUGGGAUGUAUCAAGCGAUCCACACACUAGCUAUGUCCCCCAAUAGGGACAAUUAAUAGAAAAAGGUGGAAAGAUGGUGAUAGGGAAAGACGACAAAAUGGAAGUAUUAACCAAAAGAUCAAAGAAGUAUUAGCCAAAAGAUCAAGACGGGGAUAGAGAAAUGUGGAACAUAUUAGCCACCAAUCGCAGUCCACAUUUCGACGACGAGAGACCUGGCUGCCCUUCUACCACCAGUUCACAUUCCCCCAAAGCAUUUCCAGGUCUUUUACCUCCUCUGCUUUUGGAAUCUUUGGAAUCACAGGCAUGGAGUGGUUUUAAGAAAUGAAGCUCUGUCUCUUCAUAGAUUGUUGACGAAUUGCAUUAAAAAUGUGACUCUUUGGGCGGAACGUAUUAAGCUCGAUGAUAGAGUUGUAAUUUCUUCCUAGAAAGAUCUUUUCUCCUCCUCACUCAGAACUCUAAACAUGUACUCCCUCCGUCCCAUAAAAAACAAAUCAGUACUGAUAUAUUCUAGUACGAUGAAUCUACAUAUGUAUGUCCAGAUUCGUAAUAGUACUAGGUUGGUUUUUAUGGGAUGGAGAGAGUAAUAAUGAUCUAAGAGUUUUACUCCCGUCGGCGUCCGGCAGCCUGUACCAGACGGUACUAGUACCGGGAGGUACAAGAUCAAAUCUGGCCGUCCAUCUUGAAAUGAUACGAUUGGGAAACAGAAAAGAGAAGCGGAACGAUUCCAGAGUCACGCCGCCGCUUUCCUCCCUAGCUGCGCUCUUUCUUUCCUCCCUCCCCGCAUCGCUUCUUUCUCAUCUAUUCCUCCCUCCGAGCGCAGAAACGGAGCAGUUGCGCCGCAUCCACGCCCCGCUGGACGAUUUUUUCCCAUCCAUCUACCGUCCGCGCCGCGGUGCUGGAGAAACGGCGCGCUCGCCCCGCAUCCACGCCUCCGCCAGUGCCCAUUUUUUCCCCAUCCAUCUGCUGUCCGCGGCAGCGAAGCCACCGACGCGCUCCGUCACCAGCAACGCCGCCGCAUUCACGAGCGAAGGUGCCGUGGUAUUCUGUGUCCCCUAUCCCCCCCCCUCGACGGCUCAAGCAAGUACCUAACCUCCCCCGCUGCCAUCGGCGCAGCCUAGGCCCCCAUUACGGCUCAAACACUGCUCCACUAUAUGGUCUAGUUAUUUUGUAAUGAACAAUUCAAUCUGCCAUGUUUCUUGUAAUGAAUUUGUGAGAAAAGCACAAGCUUUUGCUGGAGACUUUAAUCUUUGAAUGGAAAAUUUUAAGCUCAUCUGUCGUCUGUUUUUUUUAUGCUGUUUACAGGGCAUGAUCUAUCGUUGAAUGGAGCUUUUGACAUAAUUUUUGUCUGCUGUGAACAGAGCAUGAUAUAUAUGUCGUAUUGAGAGCCAUUAAUAUUUUGUCUGCUGUUUUUGCUCGAUCUCCUGUAAAAUACAUGUCAUUCUGCGGAGUGAUCAGCAGCACAACAAUGGUUACAAACAAGUGUUUUCAAUGAACAGCAAUCCAGCUAGAGAUCUAAAAGUUGAGGAAUCACUGGAGUAAAGUGCUAGACACAUGGGCAAUAAUUGCUGAAAAAAAGUAUAAUUUACAUGAUUCUGAAAGACUGAAACAAACAUACUCGUACUAGUGAGCUGUAAUUCAGAGUUUCAGACAGUGGGAGUGUUAAAUAUGUGACAAUAUAUUCGGAUUAGUUUCCCAGUAGGAGUUUCUAUCAGGUGUAUUUAUUUUAUCCCCCUAUAUAUACUCUUGUAAGCCGUACAGGAAGGGGUGACGUUCACAUUGUGAUUCCCCUACGUUUGUAAUCAUCUCCUCUGUAGUGAUCAUUGCCGGUCGGCAUCCAUGGUUUUUUCCCGCAAGGGUUUUCCACGUAAAAUUCGUGUCUCCGUUGUGCAUAUAUUUUCAUAACAAGUGGUAUCAUAGCAUUGGACAUCAAUCUACUAAUCACGCGGCCACCGGUGUUUUUGGGAUCGGAGAAUCAAUCUGAUCAGCGGCGGCGGCGGCGCUCGUCGUUCGUUGGUGUCGUCGAGUUGCCGACUUGCCGUCCUCCUGACCGCCCUGCGCAUCCACGCAGGAGCAGCAGCAGUGCCGCGUGGAAGCCGCGCGGGAGAAGCAGAAAAGCAGGAGGAGCAACAGCGUCCAAUCCAUCCAACCAGCGCACAGUUCCCGAGAAAACAAAAAUAAUCUACCGAGAGAUUUCUGAUCCGGUUGAUUUUUUCAAAGUGGGAAUUGCUACGGCCACCUAAGCUUGUGUACCAGGAGAUACCCUGAUCUACGCUUCGUGCACACGGAAAGUGCACCAGAGGUUCGCGUUUUUGCUAGAUUUACCCUAAUUUCUUUCUAGCAAAUUCAGGAUUAAUUCCCAUAGCGAGUUUGAAGUAUGAUCUACCGCUCCUGGACCAACACACAAGAUUCUCACUUUGACAAGUGAAGAUGCGAGCCGUUCUUGCACAACAAGACCUCGAUGAUGCACUUUCUGGAUUUGACAAGAAGACACAGGAUUGGUCCAACGAUGAGAAGAAAAGGGAUCAUAAGGCUAUGUCAUAUAUUCAUCUUCAUCUAUCUAAUAAUAUUUUGCAGGAGAUGCUUAAGGAGGAGAUAGCCGCUAGGCUGUGGUUGAAGCUGGAACAGAUAUGCAUGACUAAGGAUCUGACCAGUAAGAUGCACCUGAAGCAAAAGUUAUUUUUGCACAAGUUGCAAGAUGAUGGGUCUGUAAUGGACCAUCUCUCCACUUUUAAGGAAAUUGUUGCUGACCUUGAGUCUAUGGAGGUAAAGUAUAAUGAAGAGAAUUUAGGCCUUAUUUUAUUGUGUUCAUUGCCUAGCUCAUAUGCAAACUUCAAGGAUACUAUACUUUAUAGUCGUGAUACUCUAACUUUGAAAAAAGUUUAUGAUGCUUUGCAUGCCAAAGAAAAGAUGAAGAAGAUGGUACCCUCUGAAGGUUCAAAUUCGCAAGCAGAAGGCUUGGUUGUUCGGGGCAGGCAACAGGAGAAGAACACAAACAGCAAAUCAAGAGAUAAAAGUUCAAGUGGCUACCGUGGGAGAUCAAAGUCCAGAGGUAGGUAUAAGUCAUGCAAAUACUGCAAGAGAGAUGGACAUGAUAUCUCUGAAUGUUGGAAGCUACAGGACAAAGACAAAAGAACCGGAAAGUAUAUACCAAAAGGUAAGAAAGAAGAGGAAGGUAAAGCCGCAGUUGUUACUGAUGAGAAGUCUGAUGCAGAAUUGCUUGUUGCUUAUGUUGGUUGUGUACAAACUAGUGACCAGUGGAUUCUUGAUACUGCAUGCACCUAUCGCAUGCACCUAUCACAUGUGCCCGAAUAGGGAUUGGUUUGCCACCUAUGAAGCUGUCCAAGGUGGUACUGUUUUGAUGGGUGAUGAUACACCAUGCGAGGUUGCAGGUAUUGGAACAGUUCAGAUCAAGAUGUUUGAUGGCUGUAUUAGAACAUUGUCAGAUGUGCGGCAUAUUCCAAAUUUGAAGAGAAGUCUCAUCUCUUUAUGUACUCUUGAUCGCAAAGGGUACAAAUAUUCCGGUGGAGACGGAAUUUUGAAGGUAACCAAAGGCUCUCUCGUUGUGAUGAAAGCUGAUAUUAAAUCUGCCAACCUAUACCAUCUGCGAGGUACAACUAUAUUAGGUAAUGUUGUAGCAGUUUCUGAUUCAUUAUCUAAUUCCGAUGCUACUAAUCUUUAGCAUAUGCGUCUUGGGCAUAUGAGUGAAAUUGGUUUGGCAGAAUUGAGCAAGCGAGGAUUGCUAGAUGGACAAAGCAUCGGGAAGCUCAAAUUUUGUGAGCAUUGCAUCUUUGGCAAGCAUAAGAGGGUGAAGUUCAACACAUCUACACAUACUACUGAAGGUAUACUUGAUUAUGUGCAUUCUGAUUUAUGGGGGCCUGCUCGUAAGACAUCCUUUGAAGGUGCUCAUUACAUGAUGACUAUCGUUGAUGAUUAUUCACGAAAAGUUUGGCCUUAUUUCUUGAAGCACAAAUAUCAAGCUUUUGAUGUGUUUAAAAGAGUGGAAAACUAUGGUUGAAAGACAAACUGAAAGGAAGGUGAAAAUCCUUCGUACUGACAAUGGGAUGGAGUUCUGUUCUAAGAUAUUUAAAUCAUAUUGCAAGUCUGAAGGCAUUGUGCGUCACUACACCGUUCCUCACACACCUCAACAAAACGGCGUAGCUGAGCGUAUGAACAGGACAAUUAUAUCAAAGGCCCGUUGUAUGUUGUCUAAUGCAGGUUUGCCCAAACAGUUUUGGGCGGAAGCCGUUUCCACUACUUGUUAUCUUAUCAAUCGAUCACCCAGUUAUGCCAUUGAUAAGAAGACUCCAAUUGAGGUAUGGUCUGGUUCCCCAGCAAAUUAUUCAGACUUAAAAGUAUUUUGUUGUACUGCUUAUGCUCAUGUUGAUAAUGGUAAAUUGGAGCCUAGAGCUAUUAAGUGCAUUUUUCUUGGUUAUCCGUCUGGUGUGAAAGGCUAUAGGUUAUGGUGUCCUGAAACCAAAAAGGUUGUGAUUAGUAGAAAUGUUGUCUUCUAUGAAUCAGUUAUGUUACAUGACAAACAUUCUACUAAUGUUCCUGUUGAGAGUCAGGAGAAAGCAAAUGUGCAGGUGGAGCACUUGAUCAGUUCAGGGCAUGCACCAGAAAAAGAAAAUGUUGCUAUUAACCAAGAUGCACUUGUUAUUGAAGAUUCAGAUUCUUCUAUAGUUCAGCAGUCUCCAAAACGUUCUAUUGCAAAAGAUAAGCCUAAAAGAAAUACUAGACCUCCUCAAAGAUAUAUUGAAGAAGCGAACAUAGUUGCUUAUGCUUUGAGUGUGGCAGAAGAAAUUGAAGGUAAUUCAAACCUUCUACAUAUUCUGAGGCUAUUGUUUCUGACGAUUGCAAUAGAUGGAUAACUGCUAUGCAUGAUGAGAUGGAGUCACUUGAAAAGAAUCAUACUUGGGAAUUGGUGAAGUUGCCAAAGGAGAAGAAACCUAUCCGUUGCAAGUGGAUCUUCAAAAGAAAGGAAUGUAUAUCUCCAAGUGAUGAGGCAAGAUACAAAGUAAGGUUAGUUGUUAAAGGUUAUAGCCAGAUUUUAGGUAUUGAUUUCAAUGAUGUCUUUUCCCCUGUUGUGAAGCAUAGUUCAAUUCGCACCGUACUCAGUAUUGUUGCAAUGCAUGAUUAUGAACUAAAGCAAAUGGAUGUUAAGACUGCAUUUUUACAUGGGGAGUUAGAAGAGGACAUUUAUAUGGAGCAACCUGAAGGUUUUGCUGUUCCUGGAAAAGAGAACCUAGUUUGUAGGUUGAAGAAAUCUCUUUAUGGGUUGAAGCAGUCACCUAGACAGUGGUAUAAGAGAUUUGACUCUUUCAUGCUUUCUCAGAAGUUUAGAAGAUCCAAUUAUGAUAGUUGUGUUUAUCUCAAAGUUGUUGAUGGUUCAGCUAUAUAUUUGCUUCUUUAUGUCGAUGAUAUGUUGAUUGCUGCAAAAGACAAAUCAGAGAUAGCAAAGUUGAAGGCACAAUUGAGUAGUGAAUUUGAGAUGAAGGAUUUGGGUGCAGCGAAGAAAAUUCUCGGUAUGGAAAUUACUAGAGAAAGACAUUCUGGCAAUUUAUAUCUUAGUCAGAAAGGUUAUAUUGAAAAAGUUCUUCGUCGUUUCAAUAUGCAUGAUGCAAAACCAGUGAGUAUUCCUUUAGCUGCACAUUUUAGAUUAUCUUCAGAUUUAUGUCCACAGUCAGAUUAUGAUAUUGAGUACAUGUCUAGAGUUCCUUAUUCAAGUGCAGUUGGUUCACUUAUGUAUGCCAUGGUAUGUUCUCGUCCUGACUUAUCACAUGCAUUGAGUGUUGUCAGUAGAUACAUGGCUAAUCCUGGCAAAGAGCAUUGGAAAGCUGUUCAAUGGAUUUUCAGAUACCUACGUGGUACAUCUAGUGCUUGUUUGCAGUUUGGGAGAUCUAGAGAUGGACUUGUUGGCUAUGUGGAUUCAGAUUUUGCUGGAGAUUUGGAUAGGAGAAGAUCGCUCACAGGUUAUGUUUUCACUAUUGGAGGAUGUGCUGUUAGUUGGAAGGCAAGUUUGCAAGCAACUGAUGCCUUAUCUACUACUGAAGCAGAGUAUAUGGCUAUUUCUGAAGCUUGUAAAGAAGCUAUUUAGCUUAGAGGUUUGUACACUGAGCUUUGUGGAGUUACGUCUUACAUUAAUAUAUUUUGUGAUAGUCAAAGUGCAAUAUGCCUUACAAAGGAUCAAAUGUUCCAUGAGAGAACAAAGCACAUUGAUGUGAGAUAUCACUUUAUUCGAGGUGUGAUUGCUGAAGAUGAUGUCAAGGUAUGCAAGAUAAGUACUCAUGAUAACCCAGCUGAUAUGAUGACAAAGACAAUUCCUGCUACUAAGUUUGAGUUUUGCUCAAGCUUGGUUGGUGUUACAGUAUAGUCCUAGAGACUAUUUGGCGCGCGGUGAUUUUACCUACAUGAGGUAUUUUUGGUGAUUGAUGUUUUUAUGCUACAAGAGGAAAUUCGUCUCAAGGUGGAGAUUGUUAAAUAUGUGAUCCAAAUUUUGGGCCCACAAUAUAUUCGGAUUAGUUUCAUAGUAGGAGUUUCUAUUAGGUCUUUCUUUUAUCCCCUAUAUAUACUCUUGUAAGCCGUACAGGAAGGGGUGACGUUCCCAUUGUGAUUCCCCUACGUUUGUAAUCAUCUCCUCUGUAGUAAUCAUUGCCGGUCGGCGUCCGUAGUUUUUUCCCGCAAGGGUUUUCCAUGUAAAAUUCGUGUCCGUUGUGCAUCUAUUUUCAUAACAGGGAGAUAGAUAAACAGAGUUCUGCAAAUUUUCAGCCAAACAGAACGAACUAGGACUUAGCAAGAAUCUAAAACUGAAGGAUAAGUUAGACAACCCAUCUCAAAAAGCUGUAAUUUAGAGUUUCAGACAAUGGGAGAUAGAUAAACAAAAUUCACAUGGAUUGGUUGCUGAGACAUCAACAUGCUGGGUGAUCCCCAUCCAUUAAUUCUGGUAAUUGACAUGUACAAAAUCAACAAUGGCAAGCAUAGUACAUAUUAUCAAAUAGCUUCAUGAGAAGGAACACAGCUACAACUACUAUUCCUAUGAACCAAUUUCUAAUGUCAUCAGUCUCUUUUUUCUGCUUGGACAACUUCUUGAAUGAAUUUUCCAUGUCUGAAAGCCGGUCAGCCAUUUCCAGCUCUAGCUUCAUUUUCUCUCUUCUGCCUUCGUUUUCUCAACAUAACAGUUGAGUGCUUGAGCUGUGGGCAGUGCUACAGAAUAACCAGAGGUUGAAGAAGGAUGCCCGCCACGAACCACCUGCUGCCGACGCCAUCGCCGCCGCCACCUCGCGGACACGGGCCCAAGCACCGGACACCGCCGCCAACACCACCUCACCACCGCAGCCCGCGGACCAGCCACCACCUCCUCGCCGCCUCCCAUGGACCACCUACUCGCCGCCUCCCACGAAUCAGCUGUCGCCACCGCCCACUUCGCCGCCGCCGCCUACGGAUCAGCCGCCGCCACCUCCCAAGGACCACCUCGCCGCUGUCCUCCGAGCGUUGCUCCCGUCCAGCACCGCCGCCACCUCUCACGGAUCAGAGCUGAAUCGAGAUGGAUUGUAAAAACCCUAGUUUCACCACUCAAAACGCAUCCCUACGUGAAAAGACAACAUUACCCUUCCACCCCUCUAACUAUUCUGGUACCACCUCAUGGGCAAAUAUGUACUGAGUUACCGCAUAAUUUCCACCGUCCGAUCGAGCUGAAUGAAUGGCUGAGAUUUGGAACUGGGCUAGUACCGUGGUACCUGCUGGAUGGGAGCAAUCCUCACGAUCUAAACCCUUUGGACUCUCCCUUUUCAAAUGAAUACAGGUGGGGAAACUCCCCCUCCCGGGUGAAUUAUUAUUUUUUAAAAAAAAAACCAAUCGCAGUCCAGUGUGGUUUUUCCUUUUUUGACAUUGCAGCCCAGUGUGGUUAGGGAUGAAAACGGAGCGGAUACGGACGGAUAAUGCUCAUACCAUAUUCGUUUUCAUAUUUUUUGCUGGAUAUGGAAAUGAAUACGGAUAGCUCGAAUACGGAAACAAAUACGGAUUAUCUCGAAUACAAAUAAGUAUCGAAUAUGAUCGGACACGAAUACGAAAACAAUUUUUUUUCGGAACACGAAAACCAACUUAACUUCUAAUAUAAAAAAAUAUCAACAUAUAUAGUUAGCUCAUUUUAUAUAAAAUAUAGUAUAAUUUAUAAAUAUUUUUUAAAAUUUAAAUAAUAUUAAUAGUGUGGACUAGAUUUAAGAGAUGAACUACUAUUAAAAUGUAAAAAGGUAUAUUGAAGGUCAUAAAGUUAUAAAGAAAUGAGGUAUGUCUCAUGGCUUCUGCGGAUAUCUGAAUAGCACUGUUCACCGGACAUCCGAAUUAUUAUCCGUAUCCGACGGAAACCCCGAUACCAUAUUUGUAUUCGCAUCCGGAAGAAAAUAUCCGUAUUCGUAUCCGUAUCCGAACUAUCCGAGAAAUAUCCGAUCCGAGAGGUAUCCGUUUUCGUUUUCCUCCGGAGCGGACAGAAACUAUCUGCUCCGUUUUCAACCCUAAGUGUGGUUCAUCCAAAGGACCGGAGAAAGUGGGUUAUGCUGCCUAAUUUAGUUCUGCUGACUCUAUCAGUAUCCACAUCUUCAGAUACCAUUCCCAUAAUCCCUAAAAUCCCAGCAGUUGCGUUGCAUGGUAGGCUAUGUAAAGCGCAUUCCUGUGAUGAAAAAUUGACCCUGGGAUGUAUCAAGCGAUCCACACACUAGCUAAGGUCCCUCAAUAGGGACAAUUAAUAGAAAAAGAUGGAAAGAUGGCGAUGGGAUGUAUCAAGCGAUCCACACGCUAGCUAGGUCCCUCAAUGGGGACAAUUAAUAGAAAAAGGUGGAAAGAUGGCGAUAGGGAAAGACAACAAAAUGAUAAAAGGAAGUACUCCCUCAUUCUCUAAAUGUUAGACACCGUUGACUUUUUUAAACAUGUUUGACCAUUCGUUUUAUUCAAAAACUUUUGUGAAAUGUGUAAAACUAUAUGUAUACAUAAAAGUAUAUUUAACAAUAAAUCAAAUGAUAGAAAAAGAAUUAAUAAUUACUUAAAUUUUUUGAAUAAAACGAACGGUCAAACAUUUUUAAAAAAGUCAACGGCGUCAAAUAUUUUGGGAUAGAGGGAGUAUUAGCCAAAAGAUCAAGACGGGGAUAGAGAAAUGUGGAACAUAUUAGUCACCAAUCGUAGUCCAGUGCGGUUUUUUUUUUGAGGAAAUGUGAAAAUUCAUCACACGCUGUUAUAAAAGAUAUCCUUUUUUCGAGGAAAGUCUCCCAGUCAAUAUGGUGCUCCUAUCGCUAUCAAUUUCUAUGGUACUAACCACGAUCUCCUAUGUAAAAACCAUCUGAAACGUCCGGAAGUCUGUACCAUCUGAAUGACAUCAUUCCCAGAUAGAAACAAACCGAUGACAUCAUUCCCAGAUAGAAACAAACCGCUCGUAGGGAUAGAAGAUGAAAUGAAGAUAAAUAUUAAGUGUUUCACAUAAAAUAAGGUGUUGAUAACGUAUGAUUAAUUGUGUUUUAAUUAUUACAAACUUAAAAAAUUGAUUAAUUUAAUAUUUUAGAACAACCUUCAUAUAUAAAGUUUUCGUACGAAACGUACCGUUCAACAGUUUAAAAAACGUGCCACGAGUAUCUAAAUUUUUAUCCGGUUCUUACAUAAGAAACGAGCGAGACCAUUCGACAGUCAAAAGAUAUGAGACUGAGAAAACGACAGGGGACAGAAUGCCACAUGCCCGUCAUCUCUCCUCACCUCCCCUCCGCUAUAUAAACCAGGGCAAAACUGAAGGCACGCAGGCACAACACUCCUCUCUAGCUUGAUCUUUCUAGCAUCUCUGCUAAUUGCCAAGCUCCAACCUUCUCAAUUUCCUAGAUUUAUUUGAUUCUGAAUAAUAGGAAGAUCCAUACAUCACAGGUGAUGGCUGACAUUGCUCGCCGGGAAGCGGAGGUCGACGGCGCUGCUUCUUCCAAGAUCGCGGCGGCGCUGGGGCUGUUCGGCGUCGCCACGGUCUCUCUGAUCAUCAACCUGGCCGCCGCGUGCGACCCACCGCCGGCCUACGGUGGUAACACCUACUACCACCUCGCUCUUGUGGGUUCCUUCCUCGCCGGAAUGGGCCAGGUUGGCGCGGCCAUCUGGGUCUCCGACGACCCACGCGGUCGCCGUGCCGCCGUCGGCAAGAAGAUCAUGAUCGCCUCCAUCGCGCCGCUCGUCGUCGCCGUCGGCCUCACCGGAGCGGCUCUGCUCUGGUAAUUACACCUAGGUUCGUUCAACUACACCGACAUCGCCGCCUCCCGCGCCAGCUUCUCCCUAGAUCGGCGCGAAUGUAUCUAUAUCGAUCUUACUUGUUUCAGUUGUGUAAUGCUCCUUUCUUGCUGUUUGGGUCACUGAUCGAGCUUUUGUGUAUCACCUCGCCUAUAUAUCUACAAUAAAUCGAUCACUUCGUUUCCUCCACCGCUUGCUGCUGUGCUAGCUGUUGUGUUAGUUGAUCAAUGCUUGGACCGAUGGAACAUGUGAUGAUGCAAGUUUUAAGUCCAUAUAGAAAAGGCAAAUCAACUAAUUGUAGAAAUUAUCUAAUUUAGGGAGUAUUUGGAAUUUUGGAGCACUCGUGAUCACCAAUCCAACGUCCACUUCCUCGCCGCUGCCGGCGGGGUGUCUACCGCUCCGGCGACGGUGUGGCGUCCGUACGUCCACGCCGCACGCCGCACCGUACGGCCGGCCCGCCUCCUUGUUCUCCCUUGGGAAGAUAGCCGCUGUCAAAAGGGUUCUUUUAGUGAAUUUUGUAUCUAUGUUUAAUCAAGAUUCUGAUUGAAUUACUACUAUAAUGUUUGGUUGUAUGAGUGGACCCCACACAUGCCACGUAGGAUAGGAGUAGGAGUAAUAUUAGUGGAGGAGGAGAGGGUAAGGGUCGCGGAUUUGCGGCUGCGGCGGCCGAGGGCCACGGCCAUGGCGCCGGCGACUUCGCCUUCGCCCUGCCCACCCACUCCAAGUAUCUCUGUCUCGCAGCUUCUGCGCCCUAACUCAUCCGCUUGCCUCUCAAUUCGCGCGUGAAGCGGUGAAUUGAAACGGCGCGCCAAAAUUUUCUCGGUCACAACCUGAUCACCGUCGCCGGAAUCCGUCCUCCGCUGCCAUCUUCCCCUCGCCGCCAACCUGCGCCGGCGAGCCGUUUGCCCGUAGCCGUCGCGGCUGUGGGUGGUAUUGCAACAGAUUUGUGGAAGCUUUUGUUUUUCAUGAUCCAUAUGGGAUUGCGGUCGUGUUGUCUCUCUAUCAACUUGCACGAAGAUCAGCGCCGUCAGCUUCGCAGUCGGUGUCGUGGUGGGCUUCACACUGAAGAGAAGACUACGCCGGUGGGCCGCUAGGCUGCUGAAAAGAAUCAAGGACGAUGACUAGUGAAAUCUUUUCGUACCAUGUUCUUCCUAACUUAUGUUCAGAACUAUGUUUUGUUGUGCAUCACCCGCAGUUUGGAUCCCUCUUUACAAUUCGAUAAAAUUGCAAGGAACACAAACUUAUGGUUUCUAAGCUGUAUUACACAUUUCUUAAGGUCCGUAAGCCUUAGAAUUGCUACUCGGAAUGUUGUUUUUUCUGAUUGGUGAUUUACAAAAUCUAUUUCUCCCCCUAUUGAUCGAGUACUCGGAUUAGCGACAGUUGUCUCAAGUGAGUGUACUUUUUCACGCCUACCGUUCAGCCUCUGCAUCGCCAUAUUACCGAUUUACUGGCAUAUAAAUAAGCCUUAGUCCGCCCCUUUUUUUUUUUUGAGGGAACGGGUAGGGAGAAGAGAGUUAUCUAGUUUAUAGGAAAAGUCAGACCUAAAAUCUUAUUAAUUAUGGAAAACUGGUCAAAACCAUACACUAAAUCUAAAAAUAGCAAUCUAACAAGAGAAAUCUCUUAAAACCAAGCCUUUGAGAAGGACACAAGUCAACGGAACGAUAACAUCGUCCGAAUAUAGGUUGAUUUGAGAAGAAAACCGUUAAUGCUUCAACUCGGACGUCCGGACGGAAGGAGAAAAAUUGGACGGGCUGACUCUGACACAUCCUUUCAAGCCUACACACAUGUACCUUUAACGAUAUUUAAAACAUUUUUUUUCUCGUAAAUUACUAAUCCAAUCUACAAUCCGAUCACACUGUUGUAUUUGUUGUAAUUAAAUCUUUACAACAAGAUGUCGCAUGAUUAUAUUCUGAUUAAAAAUAAUCAUAUGUUUCAAUCCAUUAACACUCUUUGUUUCAUACGCGAUAGUGAUAGAUAUGUUUCAAUAUGUCUCUUAUGCAUGUUUCACAAAUUUCAUGAAACUAUAUCUCACUACUCUCUCUCCACCUCAAACAUGCAUGCAUGUAUGCAUUUUAGCGAGCUUCAAAAUAAUUUUUCUCAUAAACUAAUUAUCCAAUCUAUGAUUCGGUCACACCGUUGUAUUCGUUGUAAUUAAAUCUUUACAACAAGAUAUCACAUGAUUAUAUUUUGAUGAAAGAAAAACAUAUGUUUCAAUCCGUUAACACUAUUGUUUCAUAUGUGAUAGCGAUAUGUUUCAACGUAUAUCUUCAUCAUGUUUCAUAAAAUUUUUAAAUGUUUCAGUUGCUGAUUUUUUGUUUCACCAUAUAUAAUUUGAUGUUUCACUCAAUGGUCAACUAGAACAUUUGACCAACCAAUUUUCUUUAGGACAUGGGACGUCAGAUGAGAAGAUUCUUCAUGAUUGAGGAGUGAAGAAUAAAGUGCGGCAACAUGCACAUGCACAUACGCUCGGUGUUUGGCUGGGCGUCCGAUAUUUGGUGAGAUAUCGAACGUCCGAGCCGUAGUGCUAUCCGAAGAAAGCUCUUAAAACCAAGCCUUUAGCGUUGAGUUUUAGGUUGUUACAAAUAAAUAUAUACUACCUCUGUCCCAAUAUAAGCGUAAUUGUUGGUUUCCGUGUCCAAUAUUUGACCGUCUAUCUUAUUUAAAAAAAUUGGUCACAUAUAAAAUAUUAUACAUGUUUUAUCAUCUAAUAACAAUAAAAAUACUAAUCAUCAAUAUUUUUCAAAUAAAACGGAUGGUCAAACAUUGGACACGGUAACUGACAGCUAUACAUAUUUUAGAAUAAAGGCAGUAAAAAUUUUACCUAUAAAUUAAUUUUUAUUCUUUAGUAAACUGUUUUGUCUUAUUUGCCUAGGCAUCACCUCUAGAAUGAAGCUUCAUUGAUUUCUGGGUUGAAUUUGCUCCAACUGACACAAAAGCCGGUGAAAUGCCCCCCGCAAAAAAAAAAAAAAAAGCCGGUGAAAUGGCGUCCCCAACGUGUAGCCGACGGCCCGACGCCCGACGGGAAAUAAUCGGGUUGAAGCAAACUGGAGAAGGAAGAGCGGGUUGGCACGAAGCUUCGUUGAUAAAGACGUCGUCAAUACUACUACCAGCAAUUUCCUUCCACUAGCGGACGAUUAGGGCCUCUGGCCUCUGGUCUCUGGUCCCGCUGUGUCAGUGGGAGUAGAUUUGGCGCCGCGAUGCCAUGUGCUCAAUGUGAUUUCUUUCUCACUUUUUUUUUUGUUCUGUUCGAGGAGAUCCAGUACCAUGCCGUAUUUUUUUGUUACAACACGUCCCGCGACCAGGUAGAUGAGUUAGGACCACUUUUGUUGUUAUUACAGUAUGUGCUAUGACCAUUUUAGAUGAGUUAGGACCACUUUAUGUUCUAGGAGGUCCGGGGUCCAGUACCAUGCCGUCCAUAUAUAGCGCAUUUGAGUUGCACAUCUCCAGCAACCAACUCCCUCCCAACCGAUCGAUCUCUCUCUUCUACUUCAUCCAGGUCCAAGGAGCGGCUCAAUCAGUCGAGAGAUUAAAUGGCGGCACAGUAUGAGGUGAGUGACGCAUUAGGCGCGCUCGGCGUCGCCGCCAUCUCCACGGCCACCACUUUGGCCACCGCAGCGUUCCAGCCGCCGCCGGCGCCGGGCGGCCUCCGCACCACCACCACCUACAACCACCUCGCCGUCGCCGGGCUCGCAGGGACCUUCCUUGGCGGGGUGGUCCUGGUCGGCGCUUCAGUCUGGGUGUCCGACAACCCAGCUGCCCGCCGUGGCACCGGCAAGAAGCUCCUCUACGCCGCCGUCCCGAUGCUCCUCGCCGCGGUCGUUCUAUCGGUGGCGGCGCUGCUCUGGUAAGCCUCUCAAAUUAACGCUCAUGUACAAGCCCCUGUCCGACCGCAUUACUAUCCGCCAUGAUCGGAGCCAAGCCGGCCGUCCCUAGCGUUCUCCUUAUGUCAAUCAAAUGUAACCUUAAUUCUUCAUAUUGUUUGUUUUAUUGGUCGAUCGCUGCGUCGUGGUUGUGUCUCGUGGAGCUGUAGUAUCAUCAUGUAAUAGUGUUUGCUUCUUAUUCUAGUCCAUUGUGUGUAUCACCUAUGUAUGAUCACGUCUCCUUCUGUUCUUGGUCUGUCAAAGUGUUAUUCGAUUGAUGGCCGGCUUAAUCGACGAGUGUUUUGUUAAUUAUGAGUUCAUAUAAUCUCGGCGUGGAAAUCUCGGCGUGGGCUGAGAGACUUAAGUUAGAUGACAGACAUGUAAUCUCGGCGUGGAAAUCUCUCUUCUCCUUUUCUAUCCGCUCCCUCGAUAUAUAAUUGGACUCUCUGUACUUUCUUUGCUAUUAAUGGAUUCAGGUGGGGAAGCUCUCCCCCCCGGGUGAAUUUUCAAAAAAAUUAUGAGUUCAUAUCUCCCAAUUUGAAGUAUGGUGAUUCAAAGGGGAGCUAUGCAGUACUAGUUUUUGGCUUAAUUACAUUUAGGGAAGAGUGGAUUUGGAGUACUCCAUGCAUAUCGGCGCCGCUCGCCGUCGCCGCCGACGCUGAAUAGUUCUGGAAGUUUGCCUUGUCGGCCGUCGUGUCCUUCUGGUGCUAAAAGCCCAUCUUUUUCUCCUUUUUUUUUUCUUUUCCUUUUUUUUUGGGGGGCAACUGUUAGAAGAGAGGGAAGGGUGGGCCAUAUUAAGUGGGGCCCACAUGCCGUAUCAUAUCCAUGACCUUUGUCCUUGCGUUGCCGGCGGCGGCGGCGGCGGCGGCUACGGUGGCCAUGGAGAUCUCACGCGACCAUUUGCCGGUGAGGUCGGCUGCUCCGCCUCCGCCUCCGCAUCUACGCCUGAUUGAUCCCCACCCCUAUCUCCACUGACUGUGCUAUCGCGUUUCCGGCGGUGGUUGAUCGAGGCGGUAGCCCGUGCGGCGCGCGAGAUUCCGCCCGUCCACGGAUUUCCGGUCGCCAUCGCCGGGGUUCGUCUUCUCCGGCCAGCCCCUCGCCGCGCGAACCUGCGCCGGCCGACCUCGGCCAGGAUCUGGUCGGGAUCGCUUGUGGUAGGUGUUGGGGGGCACUUGGGUUUGGAGGACAGCAUCGUUGAUGUGCUUUGACUUUGAGUUCCUUGCUAAUUUAGUUAUGCUGAUUGUUCCCAUAAUCCCUAAAAUCUCAGCAGUUGCGUUGCGUGGUAGGUUAUGUAAAGCGCAUUCCUGUGAUGAAAAAUAGACCCUGGGAGACAUAUUAUCAAUUGUAUCAAGCGAUCCAACACACUAGGUCCCCAAAUAUUGUCGUAGAUACCAUUUUCUCUUCAGUAUGCUGCUUAAAAUGCAAAUUGUAAGCUUUUCUCUGUGCUGUCCAGUUACGUCUAGUAAUUCCUUAUGUUUAAAGACUGAUAUUGGUCUUUGGUUGUGUGUGAUGUGCUUCUUGUUAAUCGCAAUACUUGAUCUUUACUAUCGGUGCAUAUUUAGUCCCAAUAUGCCCUUUUAGUUAAGUUGCUGAAACAUUGAGCAUCUUGUCAUGUUGAUCUUCUUGUGAGUGGUUCAAGAUGAUUUGUUCUGUUUUAAUGGAAGUAAAAAACGAGGGCUGUCCCCUCCUAAUGGGAAGAGAAAAAGAGAUGUAUUCCAGCAACCAUGUGUUAUAGUACAAUCCAAUUAGUUCGCUAAGCUAUUAUGGCCUUUAUAUCCUGCUCUGAGUAUUUAUUUGAUUUGCUGUAAAGUUAUUAAAUUUAUGGCAUUGUUAUACGUGAUUUGUACUUGAUUAUAUGCUGCUAUUGGUGAUUCAUGUAAUUAGAGCUGAAUGGGAUUUUUGCUAGAUACACAUUGCUUCUUUCAACAACCCUUAUGCGAACAAAAUUAAUGGGCUGGUUUCUCUUCUGUGCUGAUUUCCAUUGUUCCAUAGCUGAAGCUUAAGUAAUUGCAAAAUUUGUAGGAACUCAUCUGUUCUUUUGCUGAACCAAUAGACUUUUGUAAAUACAUUUGCACAAGACAUUGAGGUCAACUAAAAUUCUUCUAUGCCCAAUGGUGCAGCCAUAUUUCAUACAUGAAUAUGGCUAUCGCUUUGCCUGAUAGGUUAUGGACUGUGAACUCUGUGUUUAUUUUGAUGUGAAAAUGGCCUCAGGGGAACGCAGGAUAACUCAUACAUGUCAAUCCAUACACUAGGUCCUGAGAUAUUUUCUUAAUGCCCUUUUCUCUUUUCACUAUACUCUACUUGUUAAACUUCUAAGAAAAGUCUUAUCCCUCUACUGUUCUAUUAUAUCUAUAAUUCCUUUGUUUUGAUGUCAAAAGCAGUGUAUUCAGCUGUAUAUUUUGUUGUGAUAUGCUCUGGUUGAUAGUAGUUAGUGUCCGUGUUUUGACUUGUUGCUGAACCCUUGAGAGCAUCUCGUAAUGUUUAACUCUUAUGAAUUGCUCGAGAUGACCUUUUUUGUCUUGAUGAAUAGUGGCAUGGCAACCCAAGGCAAGAGCACUAGGGCCUAGAGGUAUUCCUAGAAACUUAGGAGCAAACGGAGAAAGACGUAGCAGGACCAGAGC
This 18106-nucleotide long non-coding RNA is filed under the name Oryza sativa (Asian cultivated rice). Its description in RNAcentral is "long non-coding RNA (OSAT_LNC001229)". The stretch from base 14234 to 14419 matches the Rfam family "MIR812 microRNA precursor family". Lineage: Eukaryota; Viridiplantae; Streptophyta; Magnoliopsida; Poales; Poaceae. The record is from RNAcentral.